AUGAUCGCCGAGCCCUGGCUGGUAAUUCUCAAGCAUCUCCUCGUACCUGUCCACCAAGAUCCCCCAAUAGCCAUGGAGGUAGUAGCCAUUCUCGAGAUACACCUUGUUACCCCACUUCUCACGCUGGGUAGCGAGGAUAUACACCAUGGCCGACUGAUCGUCGGCUUCAAAGACCGGCCGGUCCUUGAGGUACUUGGUGAGCACCUUACCAGCCUCAAUACGAACAGGGCCCUUGGGCCCCAUGGGCGCCCAGGUGUCGAGGUAAUCGAGCGACCAUUGGCAGUUGCGCAGCAAGAAGCUGCCGGUGUUGAGGCCAAUCCAGUUCUUGUCGUCGUAGACCAUCUCGUCCCAGCCGUGCAGGAUGAAGUUGUAGGGGCCGUAGCGCUCCCACGGCAGCUCGAAGGCCAUGUCCGUGAACAUGGCGUCGGAGUCCAUCCACCAGAAGAACUCGACCUCCGGGUGCGCGAGGAGGAGCGCGCGGAGGAGCGGGAGCUUGGCCCAGAAGCCGGCGAGCUCGGCGUCGAGCAGCGCCAUGUUGUAGAAGAUCUCGAGGCCGUGGAUGCGGCAGUAGUCGAUCUUGUUCUUGAUGGACUUGAGGAGGUAGUGGUCGCCGACGGGGUUCUCGCAGGGCUUGGGGGAGGACCCCGUGACGAGCAUGACCCGCGGCUUGACGUCGUUGAGGAAGGGCGGGGUCUCCGGAUGGCGGCGGUUCCAGGCGGCCCGCUGCUCGUCCCAGUCGGAGAUCUUGGGGCCGAGCGUGUAGGGCGGGUCCCGGAGCGACCUGGGCUGCGGCUCCGGCUCGUCGUCGCGGGCGGCGGCCUUCCCCGCGGCCUGGGUGGCUUGGGCCUGGGCGUCGGAGGCCUUGGAGCGGGCGUCGUGGUGCUCGGAGAGCGCGCGCUGCGGGUGGGAGAUGAAGCGGUGGCGCAGCUCGGUGAGGUCCUGCUGCGGCGUGCCGAACUUGCCCGCCCCGACGGUGCCGCGGAGCACGAGGAUGGUGAGCAUGAGGCAGACGACGGUGAGCUUGGCGUUCCGGGUGAAGCGCUGGAUCUCCCGCAUCCGGCGCUCCCCCAGCACCCGCUCCGCCACCCACAUUUUCUUGUCGGAUCGAACACCAAGCCGAAUCGAACAAGAAGACGCAAAAUGCAGGCGCCUCGGAGUCUAGAUCGACGCCGCGGCCGAGCAAUGCGGCGGCGGUGCGGGACGGGGACGGGGACGAGGCCGGGGAGGAAGAGGAGGUUUAGAAGUGCGGAAGGGAAGGGGAAUUAA
Molecule: ribosomal RNA, 1266 nt
Filed under: Triticum aestivum (bread wheat)
Lineage: Eukaryota; Viridiplantae; Streptophyta; Magnoliopsida; Poales; Poaceae
Description: partial small subunit ribosomal RNA
Source: RNAcentral